CGCGGGGUGGAGCAGUCUGGUAGCUCGUCGGGCUCAUAACCCGAAGGUCGCAAGUUCGAAUUUGCCCCGCAAUCA
Molecule: transfer RNA, 75 nt
Filed under: Lentibacillus sp. CBA3610
Lineage: Bacteria; Bacillati; Bacillota; Bacilli; Caryophanales; Bacillaceae
Description: tRNA-Met
Rfam family: tRNA
About the family: Transfer RNA (tRNA) molecules are approximately 80 nucleotides in length. Their secondary structure includes four short double-helical elements and three loops (D, anti-codon, and T loops).
Source: RNAcentral